AGAGAAUUGACAGAGUGGUUGAUUGUACUGAAUUGCUAAUUCAAGGUUUUAAAUAUUAUUAUUUUUAACCAAGGGUUCGAAUCCCUUAUUCUCCA
This is a non-coding RNA of Paramicrosporidium saccamoebae, 95 nucleotides long. The record is from the annotation of a GenBank genome assembly. NCBI's taxonomy places the organism in Eukaryota, Fungi, Rozellomycota.